GUUCACUUUUUAAAUUCUGUGUGAAAAAAUAAGAAAGAAGUAUGUUCAAAGCACAUGUGCUGAAUAUGAGAGUACUGUAUAUUUGUCUCCAUGAAAACACUUCUGUGCUUGAGUUAAAAGCCGAGUUAGUAUAUUUUUAUUUUUAUUUUCAUAGAACACUAUUUUUACUUGAAAGAAAGAUGGGCAAACUAUGGUUAUUCAGACAUAUUUGAUAGACAUUUUUUCAAAAAUAAAUAACAUGCAUCUGUCACUUUCAGGAAAACAAGGACAAUUAUUGUUGCCAAUGAUAAUUUUUGAGCUUUCAAGCAAGAAAUAGAAGUUUAGAAAACAUAUAUCUACUACCACAAGUUGGACAGCUUCUCAGUACUUGAGGUCUUUUCUGAUGAGAUCAGUAGGCAUUUACAAAGUCUGUGAUAAGGAUUUGGUCUUUAAACCUUGAGAGAAGAUGAACAUUCGUCAGUUUGAUUAUGUAUAACUGGAUGUACCUUUUCGUUAAAAUCUUUUAGUAAAUGUUUAACAUUUCUUUUAUAAAGGAAUUUGCCUUUGUAUCUUGAGGCCAGUGGGCAAAGUCUACCUUUCCCAAUAUUUUAGGGAACACAAAUACACCCUAGUUGUCUCCCUAGCAGUUGGUCCAAUGCCUUGUGAAUAGAAACUUAGUAAAUGCUCACUCUAUUGAACUAAACCAUGAGAUGCUUAAAUUUGCUUAUUAAAUGUCUUUUUUUUUUUCUUUUAAGAGCUCUUGACUUAUAAAAUACUGGAAUCUGAGUUGGGAUAAAAGAACCAAAUAUAUCAAGUCCUGAUCUUUCAGAGUUUACAUUCUGAGGGAGAUUGAAAAAUUGAAUCUUAAAAAAAAAAAAAAAACUUUACAUAGUGUAAGAAAAAAAGAAAAAGAAAAGGGGAAAAACCUUGAGGAUUAGAAAUAACACUCAAAAAAGAUAAUGUCGCAAUGACUUCAGCAUUGCCAUAUUGUUCAUCUCCUGGCCCACAGGACUUUCCCCAUAUCAAGCUCUCUGCUUUCAUCGUGGAGCCCACUUCAGAUCCUCUAUCCCUGUCUCUCUCUGCCCCUCCCCCGCUCAUCCUCUCUCAAAACUGAAUAAACAUUUAAAUAAAUAAAAUUAUUUUUCUCCAAACUCUUUAAGCUCUAGCCUUCUAGGAUAAAGACAGACUUCUACCUAAUUUCUAUUUGAAUAACCUGUGUAAAACAGGUCAUUGCUUAUCCAAAUAUACUAAAUUGCAGGCUCUAUGUUAGUAAAAAGACCAUUUACAAUAGGCAAAUUCUUUUUUAAUCCCUAUCACUUCAACUUCCAUUGGCUUCCACACUGCUGGCAUACUUCCACUGUGUUUCCAGAAGCCUCAUUAUGAUACCUUGAACAUCUAUUGGUAACUUUGGGGUUUCAUGAUUAUUUUAUAACUGUCAUUAUGAGAUAAAACAUGUGCUAAUACUUGGUAUUUAAAUUUGUAUACCACAAUUUAAGACAAGUUUGUAGUAUGAUAAAUAAUGUCCAGGUCUGUGAUUUUUAUACCAUUGCAAUGACUAAGAUAGAAUUCACCACCUAAUCCAUAAAGGUAAUUUCAGGAACAGAAUAUGUUUAACUUGUUUGAAAAUAGGGAUAUAACUGAAAAACGUUUGGUUUUGUAGCUAUGUAUGAAUACUUGUAAACAAAUAUAAAUUGACUUUUUAGGGCAUAAUAAUCUAGAGACAGAAAUACACAGUCUACUUUAUUAGUACUCUUUUCUUUAUUGUGUAAAUAACCUCUAAGUUUUGCAUUUGUCCUAGUGUAGAAUGUAUUGGAAUGGAGGGGAAAGAGGAGUUUGCAGGAUACUCCCUAAGAGUUUGUGAUUCUAAAAUGAUUUAAACAAAUUCUAAUGUUCUGCUUGUGCUGCCUGUACAAACCAUCCUUUUUGCUAGGAAUUUUGUACUAAAUGAUGAUAGAAGUAAAGAAUUAAUGAAUGCCCUCUUUCUCCUAGUGGAGGGAAUGGUUUGAAGCUGUGUUAUCAGUUGUUUUCAGCGCAAGGUUCCUUUCUUUUUCAGGCAGCAGUACAUAGUGGAACAGGCACCCUUUGGAAAGGGAAAUUACUUUAACCUCUUUUUAUCAGUCACCUCCAGCAAGUGACCUCACCUGUAACUUAGGGAUCCUAAAUAACAUCCACCCUACCAAUUUUAUAGAGUAAAUGAGAUCAAGUUAGAAAGAGUACUUGAAAAAGAUUUGCAAUCUAUAAAAUGUUCUGCAAAUGAAAAAAGCUAUUAUGAUUAUGAUUACUAUAACUGUACUAUCAUUAGUAUUAUUUUCUUCAUUGCUAUUACUAUUUAUAAUAGAAGCCCAGAAGGAUCCUUCUUGUCCAAUUACCUGGUCAAUGCUCAGUUCAUCUCAACAAAGUUUUGUGUGACAAGGAGCUCAUUAAUUCCACAGACAGUUCAGUCCUAGGAUUUUUACAAGAUGGAGAAUCUGAGCUAAAACAUACUUAUCAGAAACUUCACAAAAAGAGGAAGAAAUAAUAUAGGAGAUAUAGGUAUGUGUUCCAUGAGAUUCCAAAGCAGUUAAGAUGUGAAACAGCCAUCAGAAGGCCUUGGAACAGAAGAGAAGGGGCAGAUAUGGGGAAGGAAGGGACUUGUUGGGUGAACCUUUGCUUGAGCCUGUAAAAAAGAUCAGAAUUUCUCCAUUCUGGGCCCAGACACUGACAGGAUUAAGCCUCUGUUAACCUGACCUGGAGUGGACAUGGGGGGUCAGGCUUAGUGGGCUUAGAGGACCUCUAUAAUAACAACAUAUUCAGCUACUUCUCAAUACUCAGAACAUACUAAAACAUGAGGAAGUGCCUUGAAUUCCACACAAAGAGAUUAUAGGCUUAAAAUGCAAAAACCACUGUGGUAACUUAUGUCCAUGAGUCUCAACACCUGAUUGCUAAGAAGGCUUCAGGAAAGGGUGAGUUGAGAGGGCAAAAGACAAAUCUCCCUGUUUUGAGAGUGCAUGGUGGAAGGGACCAUAGAAGUUGCAUAGACCCUCUGCUGUGUCUCUGCAAACACAGGCUGCUCUGUGUCACGUGAUUCAGGAAGUUGUUAUUGAAUGUGGCCAAUUUCAUAUAAAGCAGUUUGUACUGGGACAGAGUGGGGAUGUGGGGGAUUCCUAGUGGACUGUCCAUUAGGACAAGGAUAGUAAACUGAGUUAUCUCUCAAAUUACCUAGGUGUGUGUGGUGCUAGCUGGUUCACCAUAGUGGUACCAAUCCCAUAGAGGAAUGGCUUUAGAAUUAUUUGACUUGGGUGGAGUCCACAGUUCUAGGCAAGUCACUUAACUUCUCCGUGGAAUAUGGUGAUUGAAUUAGAAGAAUUCUUCCCCCUCUAGAUAGCGUGACUGUCUGUUGAACCACCUCCGUUCAACAAACCUGUAGAUGAUCCCAGAAACGAUAAUGAACAAUCUGUUUAGUGCACAGUGAAAUUAGGUCAAGAUAGCAGCCCAUUAAGGACUUAGUAAUGUUACAUCAAAACUGAGGGCUGAAUGUUUUAAUCAAGAAAGAGAAAGGUGUCUUCAUUCAUUGUGCUCUCUUGUUCUCAGAUGGAAGCAGUCAUUGUUCAGAGGAAUGAAUGUUUAUCCUUGCCACCCGUUAGGUCGCCUGCUGCCAGGAGUGAUCAGCUCUCUCUGCAGAUUUUUACUCCAGGUGAAAUACAUAUUUCAAGUUACCUUGAUGAUUUACAUGGCAGCCUAUAGGAAGCAGUCAGAAAAAGUGUCAGGGACUCCUGGCUGGAAUACAUUCAAAGAGUUUUCUAAUUACUUAUUAUUGAUGCAACCCUACCAUGUCAGCUCUUCACUUUGUGAUUGAUUUUUUUCUUUUUAAACUAAUGUAUGAAUCCCCAAAGGAAAAAUGAACAGCAAAAUAUUGUGCUGAACUAAACUUACGUCCAAGGAAAGAGGCUUUGGAAAAACAAUUGGCUUGGUCAGAAGCUAGGACCCUAAAAAAUGGGCUAGAGGCCUGAGGGGGAGGUACAGAAUCUGCUGAUAAAAUGCUGAUAUUUCAAAACAUUUCCCAGCCUGGACCCUUAAGCGUAUCGUAUGUAGUCUCUAUUGAGUUGACAAACUACAGCCCACAGGCCAAAUCUGGCCCUCUGUUUCCUAAAUAAAGUUUUAUUUGGGGCACAGUCAUGUUCAAUGUAUUGUCUGUGGUUGUUCUCACCCUGGAACAAAGGAAUUGAACGGCUGCAACAAAAACCAGAUGACCUGCAAAGCCUAAAAUAUUUACUAUUGUUUCCUUUGCAGAAAAAGUUUCCUGACUCCUGGUAUAUUUGUUUUUUUGAAAUGAUUUUUUUUUAAAGUUUAUUUAUUUUGGGGCAGAGAGAGAACCCCAAGCACGUUCUGUGCUGAUAGCAUGGAGCCCAAUGUGGGACUCAAACCCACCAACUAUGAAAUCAUGACCAGGGCUGAAACCCAAAGACAGAUGCUUAACCGUCUGAGCCAUCCAAGCACCCUUCCCAAUAAGUAACUUACAUCAGUAGGCACCCAGUUUGUGCACAUUGUAAGCAUAUAAUAAAUUAGAAAGGGUGACAAAGUUUGAAGCCCAGUUUUUAUUCUCAAGGAACUUAAAAUCUAGUUGAGGAGAUGAAGAUAAGCAUACAUGGAAAAAUGGUGAAAAAUAAAACAUAAUAUAUAAUCAAGGGUUAAAUUUAAUGUGUGGACAAGCACCAGACUUUAGAGAAAGGGAAGGAGGGUGUGUGAGUCCUCUAGUAGUUGGAGCAAGCAGUAUUUAAUAUAAUAAAGUUCCAGGAUACCAUAAGAGCUUGAAUGCUCCCUUGAGGUCCACUGUAAUUGGGUUUGACCUGUAUUUCUACUCUAGUGUCAUUUAAAUCACUGAUAUUUUUGGCCCUGUGCUUAGGGGAUACCUUAAUGACCAAAAGUAUUUCUGAGUAACUUUAACUGAUUGAUUUUUCUGGGAUUUGGGAUUCCUUCAAUAUCCCUAAACUAUAGAGAAUUUAAUUCAGUCAUAGUGGCAUAAUGUCUUUCUUUUUGGAAAAAAUAUAGUGUAAUGAUUAAGAACAUGAGCUUUAGAGUCAAAGAGACCCAGGUCUAAAUCUUGGCCUCAUCUUCUCCUAGCUAUAUAAUCUUGGGGGUUCUGUUAAACUCUGGACCUCAGUUUCUUCAUCUACAAAUUAAGAACAAUAAUAAUGCCUACCUCUUCAGGCCGUCAUGAGAACUAAAUCAUAUAAUGCAUGCGAAGUGCUUAGAAUAUAAAGCGCUUGGUACAAAGAUGGGGCUUGAUCAAUGUUUAGUCAUUGGCCAUUACGUUCUUAAAAAUUUUUUGACAUUUAUUUACUUUCUGAGAGACAGAGAAAGCGUGAGUUGGGGAGGGGUAGAGAGAAAAGGAGACACGGAAUCCAAAGCAGGCUCCAGGCUCCGAGCUGUCAGCACAGAGCCUGACGCGAGUCUCGAACUCACAAACCGUGAGAUCAUGACCCAAGCCGAAGUCAGACCGACUGAGCCACCCAGGUGCCCCUUCUCCCCCUUUUUAGUUUGUUGAUGGUUGUGAUUCUUAAUUUUUAUCAUUGUCACCAUUGCCAGUCUCCUAAUUUAUUUCUAUAAUGUCCUUGGGAACUUGGGGACAGGGAGCACUAUAUAAAAAAUGCAAAUACAGAUCUACACUUUGAUGUACUGGCAGGAACCUGGAGCUCUUUCAGGCUCUAUAUUGACUGUCUUUGGAGGAGAGGUAAGUUGACAGUUGUACUAGCCUUGUGGAUUGAGGAUCAGCAUCCAUAGGUUUUCACCUAUUUCUGUGAUGAUAGGAGAAAUCAUGUAGAAACAAGACCAGUUUUUCUUGUCUGUAAUGGGGGGUAAUAACACUUAUUUUUGUAACUGUUCUGAGUAUUCCUGAAAGAGCUCUUUGAAACACUUUAAGUAUUUUGAUGUAGUCAUAAAAUAUAAGGCUUUAAAAUCAGGAUUUGAGUGUCCAAAGAAGGCUCUCCUUCCUCUGUGGAUAAAACCCAAUGAUAGCAUUGCUUUUUGUUUCCCUUGAGGUAAUUUGAAGAUUAAAGGACAGGGUGUUUUCUACAUUGCCUGUUGGUAAUAAACGGCCUUCUGCAGGGCUUUGACCUUCACUGCUGUUUUGGAGACUCCUAGGAGCAGUGGCCAUGACUCUAGCCAGCCUUGCUCAUUUUAUUACAGGGUUGUUCCUCUGAGGGCCUUUAAUGUUAAUACAUUUUCAAAGAACAGCAAACACUGAAUCCAUUGUUUGGUUUUAGUUGCUUUUGUUAAGAAUUAUAUGGGCUUUAUAAGAAAAUGAGAAAAUGUCAGGAAAACAAGCAUGUUUAUUUAACCCAAAUAAACCAUGAUUAGUCUAAACAGGGAGAAUUAUUGUAAUAAGUAGGGCAGCUUCUGUCUCUCUCCUUCCCUGUGAAGUAGAUAGGAAGUAUUGGUGUAUUCAUUUGUCAGAUAUCCUUUACAUUUAAUCAUUUAUUCAUUCAGUGAACAUUUGGUAAGCUCUUAUGAUGGAACUGGCACCGGACUGGGAGCUGAGAAUACUACAGUGAGCAAGACAGGCAUGCCAUGCUCUCCUAGAGUUUAGUCUAAUUGGGAAGAUGGACACAUAAACAGCUAAUGACAAUCAAGUGGUCGGUGCUAUGUAAAAGGUUUGGGAUGCCAUGGGAGCACAUGCUGGAGGCUCAAGAAAGGCUUCAGUUUCUUUAAAUGAAUUGCCAAGUAUAACAAAAUGAAGGUGUUGUAUAUCUCUUUAGGCUCAGACCAGGGUGGAGUGGCCCUAAGAUUGAGAGACUGGGCCCUGGUCAUUCUUACACUAUGAGUUUUCUUGGGUGGUUUGAGCUUUUUGGUCUUAGAGAAGCCCUAGAGACUUGUCUGAGUGGGGCCGUAGACAUCAUCCUAAAGCCACCUUGAUACCCUCUGGUCUUGGAGGACAGCCGACUAACUAAGACCCUCCCAAAGGCAAUCCUUUCCUCCUUAGGGACUACCAAGUCUUAGUCCAGGUAUUCAUCUGUAUGAAUAGUAUGUACUCGAACUACCAACAGUUUUCACCUGAUCAGCCCUCCCUUAUUCUCCUUGGGGUCUCCCUUCCCAAGGGGGCAGACUGGAUUCUCUACUUCUUCACACUUGUCACCCUGAGGCAGGGCAGAGGAGACCUUGUCAGCUAUGAAAGGGCUAGUUUACUAAUCAGUAGACUCUUCUGUACUCUGUCCCUUUCCCCAGUGCUAAGUGAUCAUCUUUAAGUAGGGCUAGCAAGGCAUACUCAUUGGGUUACAUUUAUUCCUUCUUAUUCUUCCUAGGGAGCUAUACAGCUUUUGUUCCUUCACUGCAUUUCAUGAAGUAAGCUAUAGUGUUGGCUUGUCAUAGCCCCAAUUUCUCUUCAAUGGGGCUAAAAACUACAAGAGAAGGCUGACUAGGAGUCCACAUAUGGAGAUAUCAGGAGCCCCCUCUUUGCUCAUACCUGAGGUUAAGGAUAGAUGAGGGACAGGGAUAAUUCCUAGGCAUUCAAACUUGAAUUGUCACCAAGAUAAGUAGUUUUAGCCUCUUCUUUGUGUAGAAGAAAGCUAAGCUAGAGGAAUGGCUUUUGUGAGGUUACAUCAGUUUAAUUUUUUUUUAACGUUUAUUCAUUUCUGAGAGACAGAGAGGGAGGAAGACACAGAAUUCAAAGCAGGCUCCAGGCUCUGACCUUUCAGCACAGAGCCCAAUGGGGGGCUGGAACUCAUGGACUGCAGGAUCAUGAUCUGAGCUGAAGUUGGAUGCUUAACUGAGCCACCCAGAUGCCCCAAGGUUACAUCACUUUAGAGAGAGCCUAGAGAAGAAGUUCUCAAGCCUUGGUGGAAGGCAUUUAAAAAGAAGUACCAAUGGCCAGGGCUCACCCAGACUAGUUCAUCAAACUCUCAGAUUGGGCCUUGGUAAAUCUCCUUAAAGUAAGUCUAACUGCAGCCAGGUUGGAAAGUCCCUGGACAGCAUGGCCAAAGACAUGGCAGCCUGUAUGC
Molecule: long non-coding RNA, 7952 nt
Organism: Neofelis nebulosa (Clouded leopard)
Lineage: Eukaryota; Metazoa; Chordata; Mammalia; Carnivora; Felidae
Exons: 3
Source: RefSeq, a predicted model, not a curated record